Molecule: long non-coding RNA, 656 nt
Organism: Oncorhynchus tshawytscha (Chinook salmon)
Lineage: Eukaryota; Metazoa; Chordata; Actinopteri; Salmoniformes; Salmonidae
Source: Ensembl
AUUACUUAAAAAUCAUACAAUGUGAUUUUCUGGAUUUUUGUUUUAGAUUCCGUCUCUCACAGUUGAAGUGUACCUAUGAUAAAAAUGACAGACCUCUACAUGCUUUGUAAGUAGGAAAACCUGCAAAAUCGGCAGUGUAUCAAAUACUUGUUCUCCCCAUUGUAUAUACUGUAUAUACACUCUUUCCAUGACAUAGACUGACCAGGUAAAUCCAGGUGAAAUUAAAUUAAUGUACCAUGAUAAUCUUAAAUUAAUUGUGAAUAAUGAGCGAGUGAGAAAGUUAGUGGGUCAAAGAUCAUGCUACCAAUAACAGGGGAGGUUAGCAUGUCUUGGGGGUAUGAUAUUACUUGCUAACCUCCCCUGUUAUUGGUAAUGGUGAGAGGUUAGCAUGUCUUGGGGGUAUGAUAUUACAUGCUAACCUCCUCUGUUAUUGGUAAUGGUGAGAGGUUAGCAUGUCUUGGGGGUAUGAUAUUACAUGCUAACCUCCCUGGUAGGCCCUAAUGAGAGGUUAGCAUGUAUUGGGGGUAUGAUAUUACAUGCUAACCUCCCUGGUAGGCCCUAAUGAGAGGUUAGCAUGUCUUGGGGGUAUGAUACUACAAGCUAACUUCCUCUGUUAUUGGUAAUGGUGAGAGGUUAGCAUGUCUUGGGGGUAUGAU